CGCGUAGGCGGCCCGGUAAGUCCGCUGUAAAAGUCCAGGGCUCAACCCUGGAAAGCCGGUGGAUACUGUCGGGCUAGAGUCCGGAAGAGGCGAGUGGAAUUCCUGGUGUAGCGGUGGAAUGCGCAGAUAUCAGGAGGAACACCGAUGGCGAAGGCAGCUCGCUGGGACGGUACUGACGCUGAGGCGCGAAAGCGUGGGGAGCGAACA
This 207-nucleotide ribosomal RNA is filed under the name uncultured bacterium. RNAcentral's name for it is "partial 16S ribosomal RNA". It matches the Rfam family "Bacterial small subunit ribosomal RNA", at positions 568 to 774 of the family's 1533-position model. The record is from RNAcentral.